RNAcentral lists this ribosomal RNA (653 nucleotides) under uncultured bacterium. RNAcentral's name for it is "bacterial SSU rRNA". It matches the Rfam family "Bacterial small subunit ribosomal RNA", at positions 75 to 746 of the family's 1533-position model. The record is from RNAcentral.
AUGGAAUUUUAAUUGACUGAGUGGCGGACGGGUGAGUAACGCGUGGGUAACCUGCCUCAUACAGGGGGAUAACAGUUAGAAAUGACUGCUAAUACCGCAUAAGCGCACAGGAUUGCAUGAUCCCGUGUGAAAAACUCCGGUGGUAUGAGAUGGACCCGCGUCUGAUUAGCUGGUUGGUGGGGUAACGGCCUACCAAGGCGACGAUCAGUAGCCGACCUGAGAGGGUGACCGGCCACAUUGGGACUGAGACACGGCCCAAACUCCUACGGGAGGCAGCAGUGGGGAAUAUUGCACAAUGGGGGAAACCCUGAUGCAGCAACGCCGCGUGAGUGAAGAAGUAUUUCGGUAUGUAAAGCUCUAUCAGCAGGGAAGAAAAUGACGGUACCUGAGUAAGAAGCCCCGGCUAACUACGUGCCAGCAGCCGCGGUAAUACGUAGGGGGCAAGCGUUAUCCGGAUUUACUGGGUGUAAAGGGAGCGUAGACGGCGAUGCAAGUCUGAAGUGAAAGCCCGGGGCUCAACCCCGGGACUGCUUUGGAAACUGUAUGGCUGGAGUGCUGGAGAGGCAAGCGGAAUUCCUAGUGUAGCGGUGAAAUGCGUAGAUAUUAGGAAGAACACCAGUGGCGAAGGCGGCUUGCUGGACAGUAACUGACGU